Molecule: long non-coding RNA, 837 nt
Filed under: Parus major (Great Tit)
Lineage: Eukaryota; Metazoa; Chordata; Aves; Passeriformes; Paridae
Description: lncRNA (ENSPMJG00000017746.1)
Source: RNAcentral
CACUCCAGAUGUGGAUAUUUGGGAAGCACCUCUUUGGCCACUGCAGGAUGAGCUGUGACCACCGGGUUGUCUCCUGGCAAGUGAUUAUCCAUCCAGGCUGUGCCACAAUUAGUGAAGCUGAGGUGGGAUUUCGAGGAGAAGAAUUCCUGCUUGUUUCCUGGGUUGGUGUUUCUAUUACAAGCCCCAAAAAGUUAAAACUCUGUGGGGUUUUAAACUCUCAUCCGUGAGGAGACAGAGCUGCUGCUGUUCCCUCUCCGUGCACAGCUACAAAAGCAAAUUAAAAAUUGGUUUUGGUGGUUAAACAUUGAGGAUGCCUUGAAUCUUUUAUCCCAAAUUUCUCAGAGCAUGUGGAUUGGUGUUCUCCCACCCAUCUAUAUUUUAAUUUAUAUCUGCUUUGAAUCAGGCUCCAAACGGGAAAACAGCACAGAUGAAACAAGAACAGCUCCAGUCGUGGCCGAUCCCUUCCCCACUCCCCCAGGAAUUCCCGGAAUUCCAGAGGGUCCUGCUUGCCUUUCCUUUUCCCAGAGCAUCCAGUCCUGCUCUGGGAAAUCCCAGAUUUGGGGCUGGGGGAUGCAGGGACAGUGCCCAAGUGUCCAAGGCCAGCUUGGAUGGGAUUUGGAGCAGCCUGGGAUGGGGGAAUGGGAUUUGAGGUUUUUCCCAAACCAAAUCCAUCUGGAAUUCCAAGAUUGCAUGGCACAGGGGACAAGGAUCAGGAGAACACAGGGACGAGGAUGAGAAGCCCCAGAGUGGGACCAACAGAGGGGUCUGACCUCAGCCCAAGGGGUCCCAAAUAUUUAUAUAAAUAAAAUAUAUAAUAACUAGAAUAAUAUCUAUUUU